UACGUAGGUGACCAGCGUUGUCCGGAUUUACUGGGCGUAAAGAGCGCGCAGGCGGUCGUUCAAGUCGAGUGUGAAAGCCCCCGGCUCAACUGGGGAGGGUCAUUCGAUACUGAUCGACUCGAAGGCAGGAGAGGGAAGUGGAAUUCCCGGUGUAGUGGUGAAAUGCGUAGAUAUCGGGAGGAACACCAGUGGCGAAGGCAGCUUGCUGGGACGGUACUGACGCUGAGGCGCGAAAGCGUGGGGAGCAAACAGG
RNAcentral lists this ribosomal RNA (253 nucleotides) under uncultured bacterium. Its description in RNAcentral is "partial 16S ribosomal RNA". It matches the Rfam family "Bacterial small subunit ribosomal RNA", at positions 524 to 776 of the family's 1533-position model. The record is from RNAcentral.